GUAAUUGUUGUUUUUGUACACUAAGUCUGCUGCAACCUCCAUUUAUCCGCUUCCGAUUCCAUGUCUAGGCCCCUUCUCUAGAGAUGACAUUGUGAUGUACCAACCUGGAAAACAAGGAUUUAUUUUCAAAAAAGUGAUCAUUUCUUGAGAAUAUCUAGGAUUGUUGAAACUGGAGGUUCUGUUCCAAUUUGCAAGACAAAAGUUGUAAACAAUAACAUAAACCCCAUAUGGAGUCCUGUCUGUCUAGUUAUGCAACAAUUUUUGGAUAAGGGAAAUUCAUUUGUACAGCGCGUCGACUUUAACAGCAGUGAAAAUUAUGUCCUCGUUGGGAAAAUACAAAAAGAAAAGAAAAGGGGACAUACCUGAGAAGCAACUGUAUAGUUUUCCCGACUAUAUUUCUAGUGGAUUUGAGCUUAGCUUUAUGUUUUCUUUGUCGUUUGUUUUAAGUUUUAUUAAAUUUCAGCUUAGCGCUUUGUUGGUAUAAACGUGAAAACUUCAUGCCAAAGAGAACUUGCUCCUACCAUUAAACUAGUUGCAAGAAGAGUUCUAUGAAUAUGCCCUGAGAACACAGUAGGGCAGCCCAGAGCACUCAGCUCCCGCUAUGUGCGGGGUCCUGGGAAGGGCCGAACCACAAGGGUCUGAUUGCAUCAUAUACAAGCUAUGUAAGAUUCUGAGCAUUCACUAAGAACACAAAGUAUCUAACCGACGUGAGAAAUUAUGCAGUGUUUCUUGAGCAGGGUAACCAAAAUGCUUUAAGAAUCGACUGAAUGGUCCUCUAUAAGAGCAAUUUACUAUAACAUCUAAGUUUUUUUUCUCUAUAACAACACUUACUAUAGUAGCCAAAGAAUGUCGCAACAAACGAGGUUGUUAUAGAGAGGUUGAGGCUGUUAUAGAGAGGUUUGACUGUAUUUAAUAUAUCCCUCUUUUCCGCUUUCAAAACUGGCUUUUUAUAAUCCAAGAUGAACAUGUCUGUUUGUAAUUAUACAUGUUUUUACAUUCAGACGCUAUAUCUGUUGGUUUGCUAGUUAUUCUCACAAAACAUUGCAACACAUUGCAACAGCCAUGUCAAUGAGCUGAUUUAAGGUGACUACUAUUUCGUUUGAUCAAGAUCUCUAUAUAUAACCCCCUUUCUCCAUCCACUUUUCUUUUAAUUUGAAUAUCUUUCUCUAGGUUAUCGAAUUUGCAAUGAAGGCAUUGUUAUUUACCAGUCUUGGUUGCAACCAGAAGUUCCAUGCAAACUGCUAAUGAUGCACCAUUUCAUUUGAUGUGAUUUCUUUAGUAUAAUUUAGCUGAUUCUGUUCAUUUUUUACAUUUAUAUAUAUGUAGCUUUGUCCAUUUAGUGAUUGCAUGAAUGCUAUAUCUUGAUUUUCUUUUAAUGCACUGAAACUAUAAAUGGACGUACAGGCAAUGGGUCAAGGUAUACAGUAUGCGCACGUCAUGGGUUCGAACGCUGCCGCAAAGAAAAGCCUGGUAUCUAAGUGGGGAAGGGUAGGGACGCGAUCCACCAAGCUUUGAGUUGUGCAACACUGGCCCUUGGAGUUUUCUCAGUCAUCAAAAAAAGAAAAUGAAUCAAGGUAUAACUGCAUAUAUAUAAUGCUCAUUCUUGAAUAGAGUGAGAUUUGGCAUGCUACUAUUUGCAUGAAUAGUAACUUAAUUUACAAGCCUCUGAAAUUCUACAUGAUUAGUAACUUAGGCAGCAAAAAUUCUGAACCCAAAAUCUCCAGAUUUUGAUAAAUUCGUUUAGCUCUCACUUUACCUGUUGCUAUUCUCACAAUAUUUACCAACUGAAACAAAAAAAGGCAGCUCGGUGCACAAGAUAUCUGCAUUCACGUAGGGUUCGAGAAAGAGCCGCAUCUCAAAAGGUGUAUGUAGACAGCCUAUCCUAAUACAAGUAUUAAUGGCUUGCUUCCACGGAUUGAAUCCAUGACCUAUAGAUCUAACGAAAACAACUUUACGUUGCUCCAAAGCUCCCCUUCACUUACCAACUGAAACAAUUUCAGGAAAAUAUGAACAUGAACAAUAGUUAAUUCCCUGAAGAUCCGCUUAUUGGCUCAAGGAAAAGAAGAGAUGAAAAUAGAUAUGAGCGUUACACUAUGUUGAAUGCUGAUAUUAGUAAAUUUGAUUAUUAUACUAUUGAAUUUAUAUAUGUUAGAUGAGCGUUACACUAUUGUAUUUUCAAAAACAUUGAGAAGUGCAGAUGAGAAAAUUUGAAUGGUAGAUGGUACAUUUUUUUUCUUUACAUUUUGCUUUUAUUAAUUUAGAUCCUUAGGACUUGCCAACUCUACCUACCUGUUCAAUUGGUUGUUGAGCUUUAAAAAUCUAAACUAAUAAAGAACUAUAUCCCAGAGAUUUUGCUCUGAUGUCUAGAUUACAUCAACUAUUUCUUGAUUUUUCCUUUGUCUAUCUUCUUUUUAAUUGCUUGACUUAGGAAUCUUGCAGAUAUUUCUAAUUAAUUUAUUCUAUUUCCUCAGUCUUGAAUUUAAUUUGCUUUCUUUUUUGGAAUCUCUUGAAACUCACUGUUGAUUCUUUUUUUAACAUAGAAGUACCUGGUAGGUAUGUUUAAGCAAUUUUUAGCCACUUUUACUACUACUAUAGAAAAAGCUUCUUUUAUGCAGCAACGAAGUUAGAAUUUUCAUUAAAGAGUGUCAAAAUUUUAAGAAGUAAAUAUACAAACAAGUCAUGGAAAUUCAAUACAUAAUAUAUAUAUUUAAAAAGAUAACUUUUACCUAUCUAAACAGUAAAAGCCAUUGUUGCGCCAAAAAUUAUAGCUCCGCCCUAUUUGGUGGUGAGAAUAUCCCAUGGUAGAAGAACCCUUUUACAAGAGGUGUCAUCCAACAUUGUUGCGCAAAAAAUUGUGGCUCCGCCCCUCUGUGGGCAUGUCCCGUGACAGAAGCACCCUUCUACAAGAGAUUGUAGGUGUCAUCCAACAUCGUUGCGCCGCAAAUUGUGGCUCCGCCCCCAUUGGGUGGUGGGAAUGUCCUGUGGCGGAAGCAGAAUCACCCUUCUACAAGAGGUUGUAGGUGUCAUCCAACAUCGUUGCGCCAAAUAUUGUAGCUCUGCCUCUAUCGGGUGGUGGGAAUGUCCCGUGGCGAAAGCACCCUUCUACAAGAGGUGUCAUCCAACAUCGCCGCGCCAAAAAUUUACAAAUAUAUAACUAAAUAAGAUCUUCCUCUAUAAAACAAUAUGUUUAUAUAUUCAUCUCAUGAAUCUAAUUACCACUAUUCAAUUGAAAAGCCAUUGUUGUCUUUUUUUAGCUUUUGUUCCUAUCAACUAUAUGAUAUUCAUGUGAUUGGAUGGGCAUUUAUGGCCAAAAAAUUGAGUAGGCUAAACAUCUUACUAACAAUUUUAUUACAUAUAACAUGUGAUUGCCUUAAAUGAGAGAUUAUAUUAGGCACCUCAUCCCAUAGAUAGACAUGUUUUAAAGUUUCUGGAUUUGGUAUUAAAAAUUAGAUGUAUAAUUUUACUCUCAACAAUAUCUUUUUUCUUUUCUCUAGAACCUAAUCAACUUGUGCUACAAAUAGGAGCGGAUGCAGCAGGAUUUGAAACUAGGGAAUUCAAAAAAAAAAAAAAAAAAAAUUAAAAUGUCAUAGCUAACGGUCAAAUUUAUGACCUAAAACAUUUUAUGAACAUCGUUUAUUCGACAUAUACCAUAAAAAGGAAAAAAAAUCACUUAUAUAUAAUAUAAUUUUCUGACAAAAAAAAUAAAUCAAUUGACCACCCUCGGCUAAUAUGACUCCACCACUGGCCACAAAGGCGUAAAUCUUUUUUCUUGAUCUAUUGUUAACUAUGUUUUUUUUUUUGUUAUUUUGGAAAAGGUGUCUUCUCAAUUACUCCGUCGUGAUGAGGUGCUUUCCUUUUUUAUCCGUUCCAAAAUAAAUGACACAUUUCUAAAUUUGGAAAUAAUUUAACUUUAAACUCUUUAUUUUACUCAUUUUACUAUUAAUGAGAAACUUUUAUAACUAUACAAAUAUUAUGGCCCCACAAAACUUUUACCCCUUAAACUUUUAAAGUAAUAAGUUUUAAAAGCCUUUUUUUCUUAAACUCCGUGCGAGUACAUCAGAAAUAAAAGAUGGUGGGACCAGUGGCGGACCCAGGAUUUUGUGCCAGCGGGUUCAGUCGAAGAAGUCCAUAACUAACAUAAGCGGUAUAAGCCGUAUAAGUGAGUUCAAAAAUAAUUUUUAUACAAAAUUUAUCUUGCUUUAGCCAUAAUUUAUACAUAUACACAGUAUUAUUUUUUAACGAAGCGGUUCAAUUGAACCCACUUCUCACCACUUGGGUCCGCCCUUGGGUGGGACCGACCCCAUUCCAUCGAACAAGCCGUAGCUAAAACGUGAGUAACUUGAUUCGCCGAUUUUCUAACUAAAAAUACAGGAACUAAUUGAAAACCCUUUAUUAAUGUCUUACAAUCAUUGACAAUAGAGUCAAAAUCAAUAUAGAUGGUAGUUUCUUGAUUGAGAAUAGUAAAGCAGGAAUUGAUGACACAGUUAAAAAAAAUAGUACAGGAGAGUUAAUCAUAACUUACUCCGUCAAAACUCAAUGUUGCUCUAACAACGAAGCUUGAGAUGGUGCAAUCAGAAUGGGUUCAACCGAUAUGACUUGGACAUGGAUUCUCUAAUCUUCACCAAC
RNAcentral lists this long non-coding RNA (4626 nucleotides) under Nicotiana tabacum (common tobacco). Its description in RNAcentral is "long non-coding RNA (NTAB_LNC015257)". The record is from RNAcentral. Lineage: Eukaryota; Viridiplantae; Streptophyta; Magnoliopsida; Solanales; Solanaceae.